UGUUUUUGGCAAAAAUUCCACAAAGAUGGCAUCUUGGAAGAAAAGAAAUGAGGGGGGGGGGGGGGGCAGUUUUUGUGGCGUCUUUUCAAAACUUGUGACUGUUCCUAGGCUUAGGCUGGGAUUAAACACAGUUUAUAUGCCGCAUUUUUCUAAUCACACAUUGCAUUAUCUUUGGUGCCCCCCCAUGUCAGGGCAUGCUGGGAGUUGUAGUUUUGUAACAGGUGGACAACCACAAGGGAUAACUGAUGCAGUAUGUCAAUCUAGGGCCAUGGUGUCUGAUCUUGAACUGGCAGCAGGAGCCACGACCACUUUAAAUCAAUGGCUGCCGGAACGUCUGAUGAGUGACAUCCUACGCUGCAGACCCCAACGUCAGGGACGUCACUCGUCAGACACCAAGGCUGUUGGGGCCACAAAAUGAUAUUACAAAUACUAAGCGUCUGGUUAGGAGAAACAAAUAUAAUUCACCCAUAGGGAGUAGCGCCAUUUUAAUAAAAAUUGCAAAAAAAAACUAAUCCCUUUGAUAACAGUCAUACAGAAUAUGUUAAAAAGCUUUUUUAGGUUUCAGCCAAUCAGAGAGCAGCACUGCUCAAAUAGAACUCCCAGGAGGUAACAGCGUGUCACACAUGUGAUGUCAUAACCAUUGUCCACCAGAGAGCAGCACUGAGCAGAUAUAACACUGCUCCUGCUCAUUCUCCAUCAGUGAGGGGCCGGUGCUGGACACUGUAGGGACGCGGGAAUGUGAAGUCAAAAACAUGACUGUGACUGAUGCAUUAUUUCCAGCAUGUGGAGUAGCAUUUCCGGACUUAAAGCAAGAAGUUGGAUGAUGGCCUAGAUUCCGGACCUACAGCAAGACGUUGGAUGAAGGCCUAGAUUUCCGGAC
Molecule: long non-coding RNA, 880 nt
Organism: Hyla sarda
Lineage: Eukaryota; Metazoa; Chordata; Amphibia; Anura; Hylidae
Exons: 2
Source: RefSeq, a predicted model, not a curated record